RNAcentral lists this transfer RNA (358 nucleotides) under uncultured Microcystis sp. Its description in RNAcentral is "partial 16S-23S ribosomal RNA intergenic spacer". The stretch from base 135 to 208 matches the Rfam family "tRNA". Lineage: Bacteria; Bacillati; Cyanobacteriota; Cyanophyceae; Chroococcales; Microcystaceae. The record is from RNAcentral.
AAGGGAGACCUAAUUCCGGUAGGAGACGAAAAAAAAGUAGUCCCAACCAAGAAUCAAUCCCAAAAGGUCGGAGCGAGGCGAAAUUGGCUUUCAAACUAGGUUCUGGGUUCACACAAGACCUGAAUCAGGAACAAGGGCUAUUAGCUCAGGUGGUUAGAGCGCACCCCUGAUAAGGGUGAGGUCCCUGGUUCGAGUCCAGGAUGGCCCACCUGUACAGGGGAAGAAAGAAAAGAAGCUCCGAAUCAGCACCUUAUCUUACUUAUAUAGUAAGAGAGAAUGCUGGCUCUGAGUUCAGAGUCCAGAGGAACCUUGAAAACUGCAUAGAGCUAGGUGAAAAAGCCAAAAAAGAAGACCGCCA